Molecule: long non-coding RNA, 425 nt
Organism: Aethina tumida (small hive beetle)
Lineage: Eukaryota; Metazoa; Arthropoda; Insecta; Coleoptera; Nitidulidae
Exons: 2
Source: RefSeq, a predicted model, not a curated record
GUUUUUGAUAAUCAAAAUUGCGGUUGCUGAUUUUGACCAUUAAUUUAUCAGGUUUUCGAAAGGCACACUAAACAAGAAUAUAAUAUGGUCUGUAGGUUUGUUCGAGUGGUGUUGGCCAUCACAGUCUUGUUGAUGUUGUUGAUAAUCGUCUGCUUUAAAUGGAGCAGAAGCGAUGAUCCUGAUAAUGUAGAAUGUCGAUAUACAGAACAAGUACGAAGAAUUAAACCUAAAGGUCCACGUUUAAAAAAAAUAUUUUAAUCAAAUUAUAUCAAAACACACAUGUGACUUAUAUAUAUAUAUAUAUUUAUAUUAUACAUGUGACUUAUAUAUAUAUAUUUACACACACAUGUGACUUAUAUAUAUAUUUAUAUUAUAAUAUAUAUUUAUUUAUAUUAUAUUCAUUAUUAUUAAAUAGAUUGUUAUUA